AGAGUUUGAUUAUGGCUCAGAUCGAACGCUGGCGGCAGGCCUAACACAUGCAAGUCGAGCGGUAGAGAGAAGCUUGCUUCUCUUGAGAGCGGCGGACGGGUGAGUAAUGCCUAGGAAUCUGCCUGGUAGUGGGGGAUAACGUUCGGAAACGGACGCUAAUACCGCAUACGUCCUACGGGAGAAAGCAGGGGACCUUCGGGCCUUGCGCUAUCAGAUGAGCCUAGGUCGGAUUAGCUAGUUGGUGAGGUAAUGGCUCACCAAGGCGACGAUCCGUAACUGGUCUGAGAGGAUGAUCAGCCACACUGGAACUGAGACACGGUCCAGACUCCUACGGGAGGCAGCAGUGGGGAAUCUUGCGCAAUGGGCGAAAGCCUGACGCAGCGACGCCGCGUGAGUGAUGAAGGCCUUCGGGUUGUAAACUCCUGUCAGAGGGAACGACAGUAGUAGGGUAAAUAGUCCUACUUUCUAGACGGUACCUUCAAAGGAAGCCCCGGCUAAUUCCGUGCCAGCAGCCGCGGUAAU
RNAcentral lists this ribosomal RNA (522 nucleotides) under uncultured Actinomycetes bacterium. RNAcentral describes it as "bacterial SSU rRNA". It matches the Rfam family "Bacterial small subunit ribosomal RNA", at positions 8 to 524 of the family's 1533-position model. Lineage: Bacteria; Bacillati; Actinomycetota; Actinomycetes. The record is from RNAcentral.